GGGGAUAAUUCGGGAAAGGGUGUUUAACCCCCCUACCCCCUAGGGGGAAACGGGGGGCCCUUCGGCCCUCCCAUUAUGGAGCGGCCGAAUUUGGAUUAGUUAGUGGGGGGUAACCGCUCCCCAAGGCAACGAUCCGUAGUUGUUUGAGAGGACGCCCAGCCCCACUGGGACUGGACACGGCCCAGAUUCCUACGGGAGGCAGCAGUGGGAAUUUUGGACAAUGGGGGAACCCUGAUCCAGCCAUCCCGCGUGUGCGAUGAAGGCCUUCGGGUUGUAAAGCACUUUUGGCAGGAAAGAAACGGCGCCGGCUAAUACCUGGCGCUAAUGACGGUACCUGCAGAAUAAGCACCGGCUAACUACGUGCCAGCAGCCGCGGUAAUACGUAGGGUGCAAGCGUUAAUCGGAAUUACUGGGCGUAAAGCGUGCGCAGGCGGUUCGGAAAGAAAGAUGUGAAAUCCCAGAGCUUAACUUUGGAACUGCAUUUUUAACUACCGGGCUAGAGUGUGUCAGAGGGAGGUGGAAUUCCGCGUGUAGCAGUGAAAUGCGUAGAUAUGCGGAGGAACACCGAUGGCGAAGGCAGCCUCCUGGGAUAACACUGACGCUCAUGCACGAAAGCGUGGGGAGCAAACAGGAUUAGAUACCCUGGUAGUCCACGCCCUAAACGAUGUCAACUAGCUGUUGGGGCCUUCGGGCCUUAGUAGCGCAGCUAACGCGUGAAGUUGACCGCCUGGGGAGUACGGUCGCAAGAUUAAAACUCAAAGGAAUUGACGGGGACCCGCACAAGCGGUGGAUGAUGUGGAUUAAUUCGAUGCAACGCGAAAAACCUUACCUACCCUUGACAUGUCUGGAAUCCCGAAGAGAUUUGGGAGUGCUCGCAAGAGAACCGGAACACAGGUGCUGCAUGGCUGUCGUCAGCUCGUGUCGUGAGAUGUUGGGUUAAGUCCCGCAACGAGCGCAACCCUUGUCAUUAGUUGCUACGAAAGGGCACUCUAAUGAGACUGCCGGUGACAAACCGGAGGAAGGUGGGGAUGACGUCAAGUCCUCAUGGCCCUUAUGGGUAGGGCUUCACACGUCAUACAAUGGUCGGGACAGAGGGUUGCCAACCCGCGAGGGGGAGCCAAUCUCAGAAACCCGAUCGUAGUCCGGAUCGCAGUCUGCAACUCGACUGCGUGAAGUCGGAAUCGCUAGUAAUCGCGGAUCAGCAUGUCGCGGUGAAUACGUUCCCGGGUCUUGUACACACCGCCCGUCACACCAUGGGAGUGGGUUUUACCAGAAGUAGUUAGCCUAACCGCAAGGGGGGCGAUACC
This 1307-nucleotide ribosomal RNA is filed under the name uncultured bacterium. RNAcentral's name for it is "bacterial SSU rRNA". It matches the Rfam family "Bacterial small subunit ribosomal RNA", at positions 139 to 1457 of the family's 1533-position model. The record is from RNAcentral.